This 425-nucleotide ribosomal RNA is filed under the name uncultured bacterium. RNAcentral describes it as "bacterial SSU rRNA". It matches the Rfam family "Bacterial small subunit ribosomal RNA", at positions 355 to 772 of the family's 1533-position model. The record is from RNAcentral.
UGGGGAAUUUUGGACAAUGGGCGCAAGCCUGAUCCAGCCAUGCCGCGUGUGGGAAGAAGGCCUUCGGGUUGUAAACCACUUUUGUCAGGGAAGAAACGGCUCUUACUAAUAUUAGGAGCUAAUGACGGUACCUGAAGAAUAAGCACCGGCUAACUACGUGCCAGCAGCCGCGGUAAUACGUAGGGUGCAGGCGUUAAUCGGAAUUACUGGGCGUAAAGCGUGCGCAGGCGGCUUCUCAAGUCAGAUGUGAAAUCCCCGGGCUUAACCUGGGAACUGCGUUUGAAACUGGGAGGCUAGAGUGCGGCAGAGGGGGGUGGAAUUCCACGUGUAGCAGUGAAAUGCGUAGAUAUGUGGAGGAACACCGAUGGCGAAGGCAGCCCCCUGGGCCAGCACUGACGCUCAUGCACGAAAGCGUGGGGAGCAAA